GCGGACGUGGCGGAAUGGCAGACGCUGCGGUCUUAAACACCGCUGGGGCAACCCGUGCGGGUUCGAAUCCCGCCGUCCGCACCA
Molecule: transfer RNA, 84 nt
Filed under: Thermomicrobiales bacterium
Lineage: Bacteria; Pseudomonadati; Thermomicrobiota; Thermomicrobia; Thermomicrobiales
Description: tRNA-Leu
Rfam family: tRNA
About the family: Transfer RNA (tRNA) molecules are approximately 80 nucleotides in length.
Source: RNAcentral